GGUUUACAUUAACUCCUCCCCUUACUCUCCACCUCGUCCAUCUCCGUUCCCCAAAAUCAUCUCCAGGCCGACAACGCCUCCUUCAAGCAGGAGAGCUCCAUCGCCGAACCCCACCGGAUCUCAUCCUCCUCAACACUUGGGAACCUGUGGUCGCCGGCAUCCUCCUCCCUGGCCCUCGGCAGGCGCCAUCCUUGCGCAGCCAAGGGAGCCCUCACCAGAUCCCGUUCGCCUCCAUGGGCGGAGCCCGAGGUCACCGGAGUACCAGGAGCACGGGGGUGGACCAAGGCGCGGCGUCUGGGAAACGCCAUGAUCUACCUGCAGAUGCUCACCGCCCCCCUCCCCCCAACACCUGCUCCCGCCCCGAGCCCUCGAGCUCCAGCGCGCGGUGAUGCCUUUGGAUCUCUCUUAUCCUGCCUUUGGAUGCUUGAACUGUCUGAAAACACUGUCAAAUGUUUGUGGAAGGAUGCUGCUGAUCAGGGUGUACUUGUGAGAAAUUUUGAGAACAGAAUCAGGGUGAGGCCCCUCCCUGUGCGUUUUUUUUUUUUUUUGGUUUGGAUCAUGUGAUUAUCAAAUCGGUGCAGCAGGGAUUCAUCUCACCUUUUGUGCUAAUGUAAAAAAGUAAUCGAUGGCUUGCAAGUUUUAAUCCUGAGCAUUUUCAGUUCCUCCAUCGCUCAGCACAAACUUGAUUUGUAAACAGAUGUCUCAAAUAUCAAUGGUGUAUGAUAUCAUUUGUUGAUAUAAUUUAUGAUUUAAUAAUUUUUACAAUCUGCAUCA
Molecule: long non-coding RNA, 774 nt
Organism: Lolium rigidum
Lineage: Eukaryota; Viridiplantae; Streptophyta; Magnoliopsida; Poales; Poaceae
Exons: 2
Source: RefSeq, a predicted model, not a curated record